RNAcentral lists this ribosomal RNA (474 nucleotides) under uncultured bacterium. RNAcentral's name for it is "bacterial SSU rRNA". It matches the Rfam family "Bacterial small subunit ribosomal RNA", at positions 329 to 793 of the family's 1533-position model. The record is from RNAcentral.
CGCUAUCAUCCUACGGGAGGCAGCAGUGGGGGAAUAUUGCACAAUGGGCGCAAGCCUGAUGCAGCCAUGCCGCGUGUAUGAAGAAGGCCUUCGGGUUGUAAAGUACUUUCAGCAGUGAGGAAGGCCGGGUGUGUUAAUAGCGCAUUCGUUUGACGUUAGCUGCAGAAGAAGCACCGGCUAACUCCGUGCCAGCAGCCGCGGUAAUACGGAGGGUGCGAGCGUUAAUCGGAAUUACUGGGCGUAAAGCGCAUGCAGGCGGCCUGUUAAGUCAGAUGUGAAAGCCCGGGGCUUAACCUCGGAAUUGCAUUUGAAACUGGCAGGCUAGAGUCUUGUAGAGGGGGUAGAAUUUCAGGUGUAGCGGUGAAAAUGCGUAGAGAUCUGAAGGAAUACCAGUGGCGAAGGCGGCCCCCUGGACAAAGACUGACGCUCAGAUGCGAAAGCGUGGGGAGCAAACAGGAUUAGAUACCCUGGUAG